Molecule: long non-coding RNA, 1038 nt
Filed under: Mus spicilegus (steppe mouse)
Lineage: Eukaryota; Metazoa; Chordata; Mammalia; Rodentia; Muridae
Description: lncRNA (ENSMSIG00000018053.1)
Source: RNAcentral
CCCUCCCACCCCAUUUGUGACUCAUUCAUUCGGCUUUUCUUCCUUUGUUUCAUCGAACCUAUGUGCAGCUCCCCUCCCUUUCUCUUUCCCUUCCUUCUCCCCUCCCUCCCUCCCAUCCUCUCCCCAUUUCAUUCCUCCAUUCCCUCUGUUCAUCACUUCACAGUGUCUUCCACCUACCCAUGCACCCUUCCGCUCGCUCUCGCGCUCCCGCCUUUUCUGCCCUCCUACUCUCCUCUCUUUCUGGAUUUGGCCUGAAUAACUUCAGAUUUCCUGCCAGUCGACUCAGUUUUGCCACGAGGACUUCUUUGGCUCAGAGCCACCCACAUAGUUGCCAGGGGAGAAACUUCCAGAGCUGGGCCCAACAGCUGUCUUGGAGGCCUUUCUGGCCAAGACUGAUUCCUGGGUGUGGCUGCUCCUCUCUUGGGAGGAAAGUAAGUGGUUUUGGGGUCCAGAGUCAUCUAAUGAGUACUAGAAAAGCAGAUGUGGUGGGUUGGGGGCUACAACUAUUUGACCUAAGAGGUGAUGGGGGUGGGGCGGAUGAGGGAGAAGUUGCCAGUCCUUUCCAGGUGGGAAGGCACAGGUGUGAGUCCCAGCCAGAGUUUUCAAGCUGUGGUCCUGUGACAGAAACAUUUCAGAGUGGUCCCCGGUAUCCUUUGCAUGGUGGGACAGGUCCAGUAUAGUCUUUUCUACCAGAACCAAGCAAGCAAGGCUUGGGGAGACUUAACGAAUUCCAUGAGGUCACUGUUCUAGAUGGUACUAUUGGCAUAUUUUAUUCUUUUCCUCUUCCUGAGUAAACCUCACUUUCCAGCCAUCUGCAGUUAGCUAAGACUGUUUAUUUUGUUCCGGCAAAGGGAAACAGAGGUGGGAGUGAACCUUUUCAGUCCAAAACAGGAAACUCCCUCUGUGUUCCCCUAGGCUCCCCCCACCCCGCCCCCCGAACUGUUGUUUGAGCCUGGAGGACAUCCCUCUGUCAUGUUGCCCAGCCUGUAGUAGAUGUGUGUGCAGACAGAUGAUUCUGGGUACUGUUUGUUAUUGCAG